ACGGCUAUGAAAAUUCUACUACUGCUAUUGUAUUGGUAACAGAAAGUUUUGUUAUUUUUUGAAGUAGUUCUGUCUGUAAACAGACAAGAUGAUUCCGAAACUCCUCCAUUUAAUCAAGAGAAUGCAAUGGAGUCCGCUCCACUUCAGAAAAAGGAUGGUCCGGGUAAGCUCAUUGUUUGAACUAUAAUUGUGAUAUUAUGAUCUGGAAUCUUGUUAUGUUAUCCAUGAAAUUUACCUGUUAAAAAUCUCAAUCAACAUGCUGCAUCAAUUGAUAUAGGUGGUGGAGUUGGAACCCCUGCCAUUGUAGGCAUUGAUGCUAUGGAGAACGAACAGAGUUUGCCAUUUGUUAAGAAUCACCUACUUUGUGAAGAUAUCCAUUCUAUGGAAACCUAUAAGUAAAAUGACACAGAAGCCACACUUCGCCCCACUGUACGNNNNNNNNNNNNNNNNNNNNNNNNNNNNNNNNNNNNNNNNNNNNNNNNNNNNNNNNNNNNNNNNNNNNNNNNNNNNNNNNNNNNNNNNNNNNNNNNNNNNNNNNNNNUUUUUUUUUUUUUUUUUUUUUUUCUGGUUUUCAAACUCAGUACUAUAUAUUGAACACAAGCAAAAUGAUGUGGGUAACAUUAAUGAGUGGUGAUGGAUGUAGAUGGUAUUUUUGAAUGAGUGGUUAUUAGGAUUAGAUCUCAUAUCUCAUGUUACUAUUGCUUUUCAUUGGAGAAGUCUCUCAAACUUUCUCUCUCUCUCUUUCUAUAUAUAUAGGCCACACAUAAAAUAAGAUGGUUUGUAGUGGAAGAAGACUGUAUAUAUAUAUACAUACAUAUAUAUAUAUAUAUAUAUGGGUAUAUGAGUAAAGUUCAAUGGAGACCAUUUUAUUGGAGACGGUGGAGACCACUUAUUAUGUUCUGCAAUCAAAACACUAUAAAAUACAUUAUUUUGUGAAGUAUGUUUAACAAAUAUCAUGUAUUCAUUAAAAUUGUUGAAGAUCAUCUAUGUUUCAUAAGUAUAUAAUGUAUGUUCUGCAAACUAAAUAUAUUUCGUAGAAUAUAACAUUUUGUAAUGUUUUACAUGCGAAACUUAUAUGAUAUUCAAGAUUUUAAAGUGAAAUAAUGAUUUUGUACAACAUGAUGUGCAAAACUAUACGUUUUGCAAUGUUUUUAUGCAAUAUUUCACUGGUAGAACAUAAGUGGUCUCCACGGUUUCCAAUAAAAUGGUCUACAUAGAACUUUACUCUGGGGAUAGAUAUAUGGAUGGAUUGAUGGAUUGCCCAAGUACAAACCAAUAUUAAAGUGAAAAUUACAUAUAUAAUGAUCCCCAGAAGUCACCAUCAUGUCUUAAGAAAUCACACAUAAUCCCCCGUGUUUCAAAUUUGAUCUUUCCCUCAAUCAGUGAUUUCUUAUUUUUGAAAUAUGACUUUAUUCUAUUUUUUUCUUCUCCCAACAUUUAAUGUGCAUACCAUAUGUGAUAUAUUUGGAUAUGAUGUAGAAUUUAUUUUUUAUUUAACUUUUAGUUUUUAAUUUUAUGAAGGUUCAUAGUUAAGUAUUACAAACACACACACACAUAUAUACUUUAAUUUAAUUAGUAAUAGACUUUUUUUAUGUAAUGAACAUUAUGUAUUAGUAAUUAUUGAGAAACUUGUUAUUAUAUUUAAUAAGAACUUAAUUUUUAAAAUUAAAUUUUUCUUAAAUUGAAUAUAUUAUAAUUUAAAUGAUAAACUUUCUACAAUAUAAUUUAUUUGUAUCUCAAAAAUAGUAACAUAAUAUUAGUAACCACAACUAACUUAACCUAUAAGGUUAUCUUUAAUUUUUAAAAAAUUAAUUAUUCAUCAUGAACAAAUUUUUUUAUUUUUCUCUAUUUAAUCAAAAUUAAUCUAGAAGUGUUUGUAUACUUUGACACUUAUAUAAAAUAGGUGGUUUAUAAAGCAAAAAAAUUGCUAGUUGUUUGCUUCAACACUUAAUUAAUCUAAUUGGACAUUAUUAAGGGUUUUAUUCCAAAAAGAUAUAACUAAGAACAAACUUUUUUGCCACUAGGCCCAACCCAUCAUGUGAGGAACUUAUAUUAGUAUCUGGUUUGUGCAUAGUAAAACCCUAAUCUAAGUAGCAGCCCGCCUCCCCACAUCCCUUCUCAUCAUCUUGGUUCCAUCUCACCCUAAUCAAGGUAUCACUGAGUCCUCUCCCGAUCUCUUUGUUGAACCCUCUCUGGAUCUCUUCUGAUCUCAUUGGUUACUCCAGAUCUCUUUGGUGAGCCCUAUGUGGAUGUGGAUCUCUUCUGAUCUCAUGGGUGGUGGUAAACAUGUCUGUUAGUGGUUUUUCAUUUCAGUAGCUAGAUUUGACCUUUGGUGUAUCUUUUGCUUAAUGAUUGUAUAUUUAGGCUAAACAUAUAUGAUGAAUUUGUUGUGAUCUCUAUUCCUCAUAUAUUUCAUAUAAGACCUUCAUUUAAUUGAAUUUUAAUUUUAAUAUAUUAUAUUCAUAAAUUGAUGAAUUUAUUAUGAAAUAUUUGUUAGACUUUUAUUUAAAUGAAAAAAAUACUAAAAGAAUAUGAAUAAUGAUUCUUUGCAUCAUUAUACACUAUCCAAAACUGCAAUAGUAGUGAAAACUUUUUAUUUUUAUGUCCACUAUGCAAGCAAAAUAGAUCACAUAAGUGAAUAAGGAGUCUAUGAAUGUGUUAUAUAUAUAGUGUAUUUAAUAAUUUUUCACUUAUUUUUAUUGUGUUGAAUUUUUGUGCUAUUACAUUUGAAUAUUGCACCUUCAACAUUUUAAUAUACACGUGGCUAAUUAUUUUUUUGCAGCAACUCUCCUCAUAUAGGUGAUGAUAAACAAUGAAGAAAAUGCUCCAGUAUUCUCUAAAUUAAUUAUAUUCUCCAGGUAGUAUAACAUAAACUUUUUGUUAUAACAUUACAACAGUAAUAUAUUUUUUGUACCUUAAUUAAUAGUAUUCAUACUUUGUUGUGUAGAUUUAUUAAGAUAUUAUAGUUAGGUACACCGUACAUGUGGCUUGGAGAAGUUAACUAAACAGUAAAUUCAUAGGAUUAAGAUAACACAACUACUCAACUUUGAAGAUAUAAAAAUUUAGUAAGUUUAUAAUUAAAUUUGAAUGAAACUAUCUAAUUAAGCAAUUACAGGACUUGGAGAUGAUUAGAAAAUAUUUUACAUAGGUAAUUUAAAAGGUAAUCUAAGUUCAACCCAAAUUAAAAUCUGAGCACUUGCAACAAAGCUAGACGGCUUAAACAGGUAUUGUUGUCUUGUUUUUGAAGGUGUUACGGAAUGAGACUAUCCUGAUAGAUCGGGAUUUGAAGCCUGAAUCCAGAGAAAUUUUAUCAAAAGAAAAUGCUCCUAAUUGCAUUUUAAGAUUCGAGCUCACUUACCGAGAAUCUUCUCUUAAACAUUCACUUCUUUCCUGAACUAGGUUUUGAGGUUUAAACCAUGUUAAGACAUAAUAUAAGAGGUGCAAAUUAUGUUUCUUCUUUCCACCUUUUCAGUGAUCUUCUUUAGCGGAAAAAUAUUGUUCUUAGUAUGUCAUAUAAUUAAAAAGGAAUUUUUAACGCAGUGACUUACUUUUUAUUAGAAAUUGUUCUUUAGUUUUGUCUUCUAGGUACAUUUAAGUUUUAACCCCAGGUUGAACUUGGUAGUAACGUGUUAUAAUGUACUACCCUUUGGUAGAAGAUGAUGUCUUUAUUUCUUAUCGUAUAGAUAGUUGUGCUUUCUGUUUAACUCUAAGACUUUUAUUUAAAUGAAAAAAAUACUAAAAGAAUAUGAAUAAUGAUUCUUUGCAUCAUUAUACACUAUCCAAAACUGCAAUAGUAGUGAAAACUUUUUAUUUUUAUGUCCACUAUGCAAGCAAAAUAGAUCACAUAAGUGAAUAAGGAGUCUAUGAAUGUGUUAUAUAUAUAGUGUAUUUAAUAAUUUUUCACUUAUUUUUAUUGUGUUGAAUUUUUGUGCUAUUACAUUUGAAUAUUGCACCUUCAACAUUUUAAUAUACACGUGGCUAAUUAUUUUUUUGCAGCAACUCUCCUCAUAUAGGUGAUGAUAAACAAUGAAGAAAAUGCUCCAGUAUUCUCUAAAUUAAUUAUAUUCUCCAGGUAGUAUAACAUAAACUUUUUGUUAUAACAUUACAACAGUAAUAUAUUUUUUGUACCUUAAUUAAUAGUAUUCAUACUUUGUUGUGUAGAUUUAUUAAGAUAUUAUAGUUAGGUACACCGUACAUGUGGCUUGGAGAAGUUAACUAAACAGUAAAUUCAUAGGAUUAAGAUAACACAACUACUCAACUUUGAAGAUAUAAAAAUUUAGUAAGUUUAUAAUUAAAUUUGAAUGAAACUAUCUAAUUAAGCAAUUACAGGACUUGGAGAUGAUUAGAAAAUAUUUUACAUAGGUAAUUUAAAAGGUAAUCUAAGUUCAACCCAAAUUAAAAUCUGAGCACUUGCAACAAAGCUAGACGGCUUAAACAGGUAUUGUUGUCUUGUUUUUGAAGGUGUUACGGAAUGAGACUAUCCUGAUAGAUCGGGAUUUGAAGCCUGAAUCCAGAGAAAUUUUAUCAAAAGAAAAUGCUCCUAAUUGCAUUUUAAGAUUCGAGCUCACUUACCGAGAAUCUUCUCUUAAACAUUCACUUCUUUCCUGAACUAGGUUUUGAGGUUUAAACCAUGUUAAGACAUAAUAUAAGAGGUGCAAAUUAUGUUUCUUCUUUCCACCUUUUCAGUGAUCUUCUUUAGCGGAAAAAUAUUGUUCUUAGUAUGUCAUAUAAUUAAAAAGGAAUUUUUAACGCAGUGACUUACUUUUUAUUAGAAAUUGUUCUUUAGUUUUGUCUUCUAGGUACAUUUAAGUUUUAACCCCAGGUUGAACUUGGUAGUAACGUGUUAUAAUGUACUACCCUUUGGUAGAAGAUGAUGUCUUUAUUUCUUAUCGUAUAGAUAGUUGUGCUUUCUGUUUAACUCUAGACUGUAUGUAAAAUUUACUUUUGGGGUCAUGUCUAGUUUAUGUGUACUCGUACGAUACAUUUUUUGGGUAGAUUGCAAAACCCUGAAGCACAAACCAAUUAUAAGCAUCACUGUUAUAGUAGCAACUGAAGGAUACAACUAAUAUUGUUAGAAGGAAAAGGGGAAGACCAAAGUAAGAAGUCCAAGAAACAGAUAGGUAGGGCUGUUCACGAACCGAGCCGAGCCGAGUUUUGACCGAGUCGAGCCGAGCUUUAAAUUUUUUCUUAUCGAACCGAGCCGAGUCGAGCUUUCUUAUCGAACAAAAAAGUGUGUUCGAGCUCGAGCUCGAUAACUAACGAGCCGAACACGAGCUUGUUCACGAACAAAUACGAGCCGAGUCGAGUCGAGUCGAGCCGAGCCGAGCUAGAGAAAAAUAAGGCCAAACCGCUACUUUACUCUUAAAAUAGCAAGCCAAAUAAAAUUUUUAGUAUGUUUUGAUGGUACCAUAUUAUAGUUGAUAUUCUCAUGAUCGAUUUGAUAUAUUAUAUGUUGAAUUCGGCGUUCAAUAACAUAUAUAUAUUACGAAAUUAUUAUGAAAAUAUUCUUUUUUUUCGAGCUUUAACGAGCCGAGCUCGAGCCGAACGAGUUCGAGCCGAGCUCGAGCCGAACAUACUAAAAGCUCGGCUCGAGCUCGUUUUCUUAACGAACAAUUUUUUGUGUUCGAGCUCGAGCUCGUUAACUUAACGAGCCGAGCCGAACGAGCUCUUAACGAGCCGAGCUCGAGCUUGUUCGCGAACAACUCGGUUCGUUAAACAGCUCUACAGAUAGGUUCGGUGAAAGAUAUUCUACCAGCACACACACAUAUAGAAUUAAAGAUAUUUUAGACGAAAUAUUUGUUGGAAACUAAUAUGUGUUUACUGUAUGGUGGGAAAUAUAAAACAGAAAUCUAAACACAAGCACACUAUUAUAUAUAUAUGAAAUAAGGUUAUGGCUUAAUUUUGCCUUACACAGAGUACUUAGGCUACAGCCUUUCUUGUUUCACAAACACAGAGCUUCUUCUUAGGCUACAGCCUUUCUUGUUUCACAAACACAGAGCUUCUGCUCUCUUUUUCUAUCUUGUUACAACAAGCUACUUGCGUCUAUUUAACGUACAUGCAUGAGGUUGUAUUUAUAGGAUACAAUACACACAGCUGACCUAAUUCCUUACAUCAACAUAAUAAACACCCUGCAGAUCCAAGAAAGAUAUUAACUUCAGCCUACCUUAUUUCUGGGUUGCAUCAAUGCAUAUACACCUGACCUUGUUGCCGUUUUUUGACUUCCACAAGCUUAGACUAUUAAUAUUAUCCUGCUUCAUUCUUAUCUAGCUGUAUAUAUAUAUUAUGGUUUAACUUUCCCAUGCAUGUACAUCUGUUAUUUUAAUCCUGCUAGCUGUAUUUGACUAGAUUGCUGCUUGCUUCCAUUUAUAUCCCAGAAGACCUGGAAUCUAUUGUGCUGCAUUUACCUCUGCUGCAUGCUUACUAUUCAAACCAAUUUGUUAUAAUUAAUGUAUUGCUAGCUGGAGAGUUUGAAAUUCUAACAAUAUUUUUCUGUACGUAGGUAAGAGAAGCACAGGAGGUAAUGUGGAUAUGAAAGUGAAAUCCAGUGCAGAGAACAACUUUGUAACAACUGUUGUUGAAAUACCCAAAAAAGGUGAUUUUCAGCCUACUAUACCUAGCAAGGAACCUGGGAAACAUGUGUAUAAGAGAAGUAAAGUUCAUCAGCAGAAUGGUGUGCAAGUCAAAAUUCUUGACAGUGAAUGACACUAUCAAGGUAUGUGCUGGAACUUAUUUCAUAUUAGAUACAUGCAAGUAAUUAUUUAGCUGAAGACCAUUCUUUGCAUGUGAUUUUUUAUGCGCUUUUUAAUUGCUGGAAGAUGUUGAGGAAAAAUAUAUCUGUAACUACUAUAAUAGUCUAUUUGGUCCAGUUUAUUUUGUGGCAGUUAGAUUAACCAUUAUCAAUAAUUCAUUUCAUGAUUUUCAGCUUUUCUAUUUGUAUUUUACGGCUAUGAAAAUUCUACUACUGCUAUUGUAUUGGUAACAGAAAGUUUUGUUAUUUUUUGAAGUAGUUCUGUCUGUAAACAGACAAGAUGAUCCCGAAACUCCUCCAUUUAAUCAAGAGAAUGCAAUGGAGUCCGCUCCACUUCAGAAAAAGGAUGGUCCGGGUAAGCUCAUUGACUGAACUAUAAUUGUGAUAUUAUGAUCUGGAAUCUUGUUAUGUUAUCCAUGAAAUUUACCUGUUAAAAAUCUCAAUCAACAUGCUGCAUCAAUUGAUAUAGGUGGUGGAGUUGGAACCCCUGCCAUUGUAGGCAUUGAUGCUAUGGAGAACGAACAGAGUUUGCCAUUUGUUAAGAAUCCUCUACUUUGGGAAGAUAUCCAUUCUAUGGAAACCUAUAAGAAAAUGACACAGAAGCCACACUUCGCUCCACUGUACGAACAUAUAGAAGAAGAACGUGAAGGCUUGGCAGUAGUGUUGGAAACGUGAUGGGUUUAGGCUUUAUCAACUUUGUAAAUUCAAAAUACACACGCCUGUAUAAUAAAACAAACAACAGAAAUUUUAUUUCAUAAACUCAAAGCUACAGCUUGAUUAGAACUUCGGCUCUUUAAUUUGUUUUCUUUUUCUGGUUUUCAAA
Molecule: long non-coding RNA, 7571 nt
Filed under: Daucus carota (carrot)
Lineage: Eukaryota; Viridiplantae; Streptophyta; Magnoliopsida; Apiales; Apiaceae
Description: long non-coding RNA (DCAR_LNC003340)
Source: RNAcentral